CAGUCGAACGAGCGAGAGAGAGCUUGCUUUCUCGAGCGAGUGGCGAACGGCUGUUUAACGCGUGAGGAACCUGCCUCAAAGAGGGGGACAACAGUUGGAAACGACUGCUAAUACCGCAUAAGCCCACAGGUCGGCAUCGACCAGAGGGAAAAGGAGCAAUCCGCUUUGAGAUGGCCUCGCGUCCGAUUAGCUAGUUGGUGAGGUAAUGGCCCACCAAGGCAACGAUCGGUAGCCGGACUGAGAGGUUGAACGGCCACAUUGGGACUGAGACACGGCCCAGACUCCUACGGGAGGCAGCAGUGGGGAAUAUUGCACAAUGGGGGAAACCCUGAUGCAGCGACGCCGCGUGGAGGAAGAAGGUCUUCGGAUUGUAAACUCCUGUUGUUGAGGAAGAUAAUGACGGUACUCAACAAGGAAGUGACGGCUAACUACGUGCCAGCAGCCGCGGUAAAACGUAGGUCACAAGCGUUGUCCGGAAUUACUGGGUGUAAGGGGAGCGCAGGCGGGAAGACAAGUUGGAAGUGAAAUCUAUGGGCUCAACCCAUAAACUGCUUUCAAAACUGUUUUUCUUGAGUAGUGCAGAGGUAGGCGGAAUUCCCGGUGUAGCGGUGGAAUGCGUAGAUAUCGGGAGGAACACCAGUGGCGAAGGCGGCCUACUGGGCACCAACUGACGCUGAGGCUCGAAAGUGUGGGUAGCAAACAGGAUUAGAUACCCUGGUAGUCCA
RNAcentral lists this ribosomal RNA (725 nucleotides) under uncultured bacterium. RNAcentral describes it as "bacterial SSU rRNA". It matches the Rfam family "Bacterial small subunit ribosomal RNA", at positions 59 to 797 of the family's 1533-position model. The record is from RNAcentral.